GGAGCGUGAAUCUGAUGUGGACCUUCCUCCACCUUCUCUUCCUGGAGCAAACUCUUCACCCCAGGCCUGCUCUCCUCUACAAAACAUACAGACAACACCAGGUCCUGGGUCCCUGGAGGACACCACCAAUACUGUGAGGUGAUGGUGAGGUGAUGGUGGCUGAUGCACAGGGGUAAAUGCGAGACGAUCAACACCUUCAUUCAUGAGGAUGUGGCCACGUUGGCAUAUCUCUGCAGAAUUCCACCUCUGCCCUCUACCAACAGCUGCUGUGUGCACAACAGUCACAAAGUGCGCACCAUGCCCAAAGACCCCUGAGAUCAAGAGUUGCAUGCUUUAUCCUUGGAGCCACCCAGAUGCCCCUACACAAUCCAUUUCUGAGGGCAGUUUUUCUACCCACAAGAGGGAGAAUCUGUAGGUGACUUUCUUCUCUACCCUGUGACUCCACCAAAAUCAUGUCAAGGCUUUAAAUCAAAGGAAGGCACCUGACUCUAGGGCAGCCAUCCACGGACUGACAGGCUGGGUGCCCAUGAAAGAAACUGGUCUGGAGAUUUUACUGUCCUGGAAUAAGGCUGACAAAACUGGAUACUCUUAUUUUCAUUUCCCCCCAUAAUUCCAGGAGCUGUGAUUGUAUUGUCUUCGUUUGUGACCUUUAGCAUGUAGCCUAUUGCUUGUUAUAAGAGAGCUUUCAAUAAAUCUUUAAUGGGCCAUUGUAAUAGGUGUAAU
This 723-nucleotide long non-coding RNA is filed under the name Felis catus (domestic cat). RNAcentral describes it as "lncRNA (ENSFCAG00000048591.1)". Lineage: Eukaryota; Metazoa; Chordata; Mammalia; Carnivora; Felidae. The record is from RNAcentral.